This 28-nucleotide non-coding RNA is filed under the name Cricetulus griseus (Chinese hamster). Lineage: Eukaryota; Metazoa; Chordata; Mammalia; Rodentia; Cricetidae. The record is from RNAcentral.
GCGGAGACGUGAUUGAUCGACUUUACCC